This 405-nucleotide ribosomal RNA is filed under the name Ochromonas sp. CCMP1393. RNAcentral's name for it is "partial Bacterial large subunit ribosomal RNA". It matches the Rfam family "Bacterial large subunit ribosomal RNA", at positions 2081 to 2485 of the family's 2925-position model. Lineage: Eukaryota; Chrysophyceae; Chromulinales; Chromulinaceae. The record is from RNAcentral.
CGGAAAGACCCCGUGCACCUUUACUAUAGCUUCACACUGGCAUUCGCCAAGGCAUGUGUAGGAUAGGUGGUAGGCUUUGAAACUCUCACGCCAGUGGGGGUGGAGCCAUCCUUGAAAUACCACCCUUAUCUUCGUGGAUGUCUAACUGCGGUCCGUUAUCCGGAUCCAGGACAGUGUGUGGUGGGUAGUUUGACUGGGGCGGUCGCCUCCUAAAGAGUAACGGAGGCGCGCGAAGGUAGGCUCAGACCGGUCGGAAAUCGGUCGUUGAGUGCAAUGGCAGAAGCCAGCCUGACUGCGAGACUGACAAGUCGAGCAGAGUCGAAAGACGGCCAUAGUGAUCCGGUGGUCCCGAGUGGAAGGGCCAUCGCUCAACGGAUAAAAGGUACGCCGGGGAUAACAGGCUUA